RNAcentral lists this ribosomal RNA (274 nucleotides) under uncultured bacterium. RNAcentral's name for it is "partial 16S ribosomal RNA". It matches the Rfam family "Bacterial small subunit ribosomal RNA", at positions 523 to 796 of the family's 1533-position model. The record is from RNAcentral.
AUACGGAGGGUCCAAGCGUUAUCCGGAUUCAUGGGGUUUAAAGGGUCCGCAGGCGGGAAAAUAAGUCAGUGGUGAAAGCCUACAGCUCAACUGUAGAACUGCCAUUGAAACUGUUUUUCUUGAGUAUAGAUGAAGUGGGCGGAAUAUAUCAUGUAGCGGUGAAAUGCAUAGAUAUGAUAUAGAACACCGAUUGCGAAGGCAGCUCACUAAACUAUUACUGACGCUCAGGGACGAAAGCGUGGGGAGCGAACAGGAUUAGAUACCCUAGUAGUCC